Molecule: ribosomal RNA, 404 nt
Filed under: uncultured alga
Lineage: Eukaryota
Description: bacterial SSU rRNA
Rfam family: Bacterial small subunit ribosomal RNA
Source: RNAcentral
UAGAUACCCCAGUANNCAACCGCGUGAGGGAUGACAGCCUGUGGGUUGUAAACCUCUUUUCUCAAGGAAGAAGUUCUGACGGUACUUGAGGAAUAAGCAUCGGCUAACUCUGUGCCAGCAGCCGCGGUAAUACAGAGGAUGCAAGCGUUAUCCGGAAUCACUGGGCAUAAAGCGUCUGUAGGUGGUUUGAUAAGUCUGCUGUUAAAGACUAGGGCUUAACCCUAGNAAAGCAGUGGAAACUGNCANACUUGAGUNUGGUAGAGGUACAGGGAAUUCCUAGUGUAGCGGUGAAAUGCGUAGAUAUUAGGAAGAACACCAAUGGCGAAAGCACUGUACUGGGCCACAACUGACACUGAGAGACGACAGCUAGGGGAGCAAAUGGGAUUAGAUACCCCAGUAGUCAA